RNAcentral lists this long non-coding RNA (1070 nucleotides) under Sarcophilus harrisii (Tasmanian devil). RNAcentral's name for it is "lncRNA (ENSSHAG00000029623.1)". Lineage: Eukaryota; Metazoa; Chordata; Mammalia; Dasyuromorphia; Dasyuridae. The record is from RNAcentral.
GGGAAGAGGGGGGGUGGAGGAGGGAAGUGGGGAGGCUCCCCGGGAACGAGCACGGGACGGCGCCUCCGUGGGGAGCCCCAGCUGCCCCCCCCCUCCCCCCCGUCAUCCCGAGGGCACGAGUGGCAAGAGAAGACUCUGCCCCUCCCCCUAAGAGGGAGAGGGCUCUUCCUCCUCAGUGGCCUCUAGAGACACACCUGGAGCCAGCCCCGGGCGGAGUGAGGCUGCUCGGCCCGCUGGAGGUCACUGAAUCCGGGUUCAAGGGACCCCAGAAUAAUUUGCCCAUUAUCCAAGAAUUAGGCUAAAAAUGUUGUGCAGCUGAGGGAAACCUGCGCCCAGGACCCGCUCUGGAGGCCACCGGGGAGCGGGGCCGCAGACUUGGAAGGAAGAGGCUGAGACCGUGGGCACAGGAGCCCGUGGGCACAGGAGCCCAUGGGCACAGGAGCCUGGAGGAGAAGGUCGGAGGGUCCCAGCCCCCUGUAACUGAGGACUAGAGGGGGAAGGGGCUCUCCCGGGGCAGGAAGGGAGGAGGGAGGACGUGGCUCCGGGUCUUUGGACGCCAAAGCCAGGCCUUGUCCCGGCAGAUGGCCUCUGAAGGCCAAGGCUGGCCCGGGAGGGCCUCUUCUUCGCCUGGACUCUGUGCUCAGCCUCUCCCUCAGCUGACCAGCAGCCACAACCACAUGAGCCGGACUCUCCAGAACCAACCACCGGCCCUGCCAUUAUAGGCUCCCCACCGACCCCGCUCCGAGCCUGGCCACUGGGAGGACCAAGGAGGGGCAUUGGAACGGAUGGGCAGCUCCAGGAUGGUGGAGAUGUUGGGGGAACAGCUUCCAGGGCUGAGGAGGAAGAGCAGUAGCGGGGUCAGUGCUGGCACACAGACCCUGCAAAGGGAGCGACCCCGAGGCAAUGGUCCAGACUGGGGGGGGGACAACUAACAGGGGAGCAGGACCCGGUUCUCCAUCCCAGAAGUUGUGAGUCUCUCCUUCCUCAUCCCUGAAAUGUUCCCUGUUGCCAUGAGGAGGGGGAAUAAAGGAGUCAAGAUGGAGGAGCGGUGGUGGCCUGGGGCUGCUGAG